Brassica oleracea var. oleracea is the source of this 595-nucleotide long non-coding RNA. RefSeq lists it as uncharacterized. The record is from RefSeq and is a predicted model, not a curated record. The transcript has 4 exons. NCBI's taxonomy places the organism in Eukaryota, Viridiplantae, Streptophyta, Magnoliopsida, Brassicales, Brassicaceae.
GGUGGUCGGAGUUGGUUUAUCUAACAGGCACCGGCACGGCGGCACCUCUUGUCAACCUCUCCAUGACACCGAGCGGCUUCAGUUUAUCAACAGCAUAAGAAAAGGUCCUCUUGGUGCUCAUAUCAAACGUGUCAUUGAACUCUUAUUUGAGACAAGGCAAGCCUUUACACCAGAGCAAAUAAACGGAAGUUGUUAUGUUAUUAUCCUUUCCAACAAGGUUGUUUUGAUUGUUUGAGGAACAGCGUAUGAUGGGAGGAGGUUCUCAUACAAGAUAAUGCUUUGAUCAUUUAUUCAAAUCAGUAAAGCAGCUCAACCGGUAAUCAAGGAUACAAUUGUAUUUUGUUUCUUUUGUCUGUCUCUCCAUCUGAUUUUUCCUUCUCAUGUUACAAUCGUUGGCUAAAGUCAAGUUUUUCAGAAAGGCAAGUAAAAAAAUGGUGUUACGCAUCUGAGUUUGUUUGAUAUAGUUAUCAUGGUUGACCUGUAAUGUCUUCUCAUGCUUCAGGAGUAUAGGGCUAAGCUGUAUAAGCUGAAAAUAAAUGAGAAAAGAGUUGGACGAUAUACUGCAGCCGCCUGUAGGGCUGAAGUGGCUAAGCUG